AACGCACAUUGCGCCCUUUGACAUUCCGAAGGGCAUGCCUGUUCGAGCGUCAUUACACCAAUCAAGCCUGGCUUGAUAUUGGGCGACGGGGCCGUCACACGCCCCGCGCCCCAAUGACCCCCCGGCGGGACGGACUGUAUCUCAGCGUUGUGCAAAUGUCGCUGGCGAUUUACAGGAUGGCCGUGCCGUUAAACCCCUCAUCACAAGGUUGACCUCGGAUCAGGUAGGGAUACCCGCUGAACUUAA
This 246-nucleotide unclassified non-coding RNA is filed under the name uncultured fungus. RNAcentral describes it as "partial contains 5.8S ribosomal RNA, internal transcribed spacer 2, and large subunit ribosomal RNA". Lineage: Eukaryota; Fungi. The record is from RNAcentral.